RNAcentral lists this non-coding RNA (45 nucleotides) under Schistosoma bovis. The record is from RNAcentral. RNAcentral also lists the same sequence under 1 other name. Lineage: Eukaryota; Metazoa; Platyhelminthes; Trematoda; Strigeidida; Schistosomatidae.
AUCCAGCUGACGAGUCCCAAAUAGGACGAAACGCGUGUCCUGGUU